CGAGCGCAUGAGUUGUGCUGGACCUGUGACUACCGAGAGGACCCCCGCUGUUGUGCGGCCGACUGUCGGUGCCAGUGUCUCUUCAAUCGUUGGCCAAUGUGUGCCUACGUUUUGACGAGUGCUUGCGUGCUGCUACCAGUAACACUGGAAGUUGCAUUGCUAAACCUUGCUUAUGUCGUGCAUGCCCUUUGGGCAUGUCACGUCAACUGUGAAGUGUUCAUGGCGUUGCCUCGUGUAGCUGGCUGCAUAGGCUAGCGGCAUCAAGGACACCUCAUGGACACUAAUGGUAUCGGAUGUGGCCUACUCUAAAGGCUGAAGGUGCUUUGGCACCUCAUGCCUACAAAACAUUGUCCGAUUGAGAACAACGACAGUAGGACUGGUUGAUGCCUCGUGCAUGAGCUUGUGCU
RNAcentral lists this unclassified non-coding RNA (407 nucleotides) under Paspalum prostratum. RNAcentral's name for it is "partial external transcribed spacer". The record is from RNAcentral. Lineage: Eukaryota; Viridiplantae; Streptophyta; Magnoliopsida; Poales; Poaceae.